RNAcentral lists this ribosomal RNA (468 nucleotides) under uncultured bacterium. Its description in RNAcentral is "partial 16S ribosomal RNA". It matches the Rfam family "Bacterial small subunit ribosomal RNA", at positions 28 to 507 of the family's 1533-position model. The record is from RNAcentral.
GACGAACGCUGGCGGCGUGCUUAACACAUGCAAGUCGAACGGAAAGGCCCUGCUUUUGUGGGGUGCUCGAGUGGCGAACGGGUGAGUAACACGUGAGUAACCUGCCCUUGACUUUGGGAUAACUUCAGGAAACUGGGGCUAAUACUGGAUAGGAGCUCCUGCUGCAUGGUGGGGGUUGGAAAGUCUCGGCGGUUGGGGAUGGACUCGCGGCUUAUCAGCUUGUUGGUGGGGUAGUGGCUUACCAAGGCUUUGACGGGUAGCCGGCCUGAGAGGGUGACCGGCCACAUUGGGACUGAGAUACGGCCCAGACUCCUACGGGAGGCAGCAGUGGGGAAUAUUGCACAAUGGGCGGAAGCCUGAUGCAGCAACGCCGCGUGCGGGAUGACGGCCUUCGGGUUGUAAACCGCUUUCGCCUGUGACGAAGCGUGAGUGACGGUAAUGGGUAAAGAAGCACCGGCUAACUACGUG